Molecule: non-coding RNA, 1349 nt
Organism: Pelobates cultripes (western spadefoot toad)
Lineage: Eukaryota; Metazoa; Chordata; Amphibia; Anura; Pelobatidae
Source: the annotation of a GenBank genome assembly
CUCUGAUCUAAAUCACCUUUUGGUCGUUGCUAACCCUACACCAGGGGUAAGCAUAAUUUUGGUAGCCCUGUUCCGACAUAGUUUUGAAGUACUUUUGAGGGUCUGGCCUUAUUGGGUCUUUUUUUGUUGUUGUAAUUCUUUUAUUUUUUUCAGUAGUUGGUUAGUCUGAGACAUGUACUGGUCUUAGUGUGGACAUAAAGAUAUGAUUAAACAGGUACUGCCUAAGAACAAAAGUUAUACGAACAAGAGUAAGCAGUGUACUUUAACACAGGAGUAUCAAUAGAAAGACAUACUGCAGGCUUAGAGUAAAAAUAAGAGUGAAAAAGAAAAACCACUGGGUGCUCACAGAAUAGGGAAAAUGAUCAUACAUAUCAAUAUUAUAAGCAAGGAAAUGCAUUAAGAUAGAGGCCUUGUAAUCUGUUCAUGUGUGGUAAGUAAAUAAAAGGAAUGGCAGGAGCAAUAACUAAGGUUGAUUAAAGCAUGAUAAAAACAAGCCUAAAACUGCAGGUAGGUGUAUAAGGCAAAAAACAUUAAGUGCUCAGGUAGGCUAUGAGAUCUCCAUACUAAAGUACUGCAAAGAUAUUGUGCACUCUGAUAAGACUGACAAUGAGAUCACUUGGUAGGUAUAUUAAGUAGGUAACAUGCUAGGGACAUAAUAUUUAUAUAUUGCCUAGUUUGAGCCAAACUAUGGAGGCAGUUCGGUACCGGGCAAAAGAUUAGUUCACCCUAUGCCACAGGUGGGCCAUGGCUUUAAGUCCAGUUUCUGGCUGCAACUGAUGGGACCGCAGCCCCAGAGACAGACAACAGACCUUCCUCAUGCCAAGCCUACUGCUCCUCCACGCUAUGGUAAGAUUCAGGCUGUGUUAGCUUGCUUGUGGAUGGUUGAGUGUGAGACAUCAGAGCCUUGGAUCUUCGGCCCCAGACCUCAGUGGGCGCCACCUGUGUAUGUCCGUGGAUCCCCACUCUCUGAGCAGCUGGAACGUGGGCCCAUGGGUUAUCUGCGUGCGGGAUAUCCCCAUGAGUGUAUGGACUGUGGUCUGGAGGCAACUCCAUGUGGGCCCCCGGCCCGGGAGAGGAACAGUCUGUUGAGUCUGCCGCUUGCGGUAGAUCUGCAGCUAGGGGGAUUUGGUGCAGCACGAUGGGCAAUGCAGUGCCAGAAAUCAUGGCAGAUGGCGUUGAACCGAGCCUCAAAGAGGAUUCUCCACUGUUAGCCCUCCAGGACCAGGCUACGGUGCUCAGCUUCCCACGUGGUGGCCAUCUUGAUCGCGGUAUGCAGUGCUUCAGGCUCAGAGCUUUCAGGUACGAGUUUCGCCUGACUGAGUGGGGGCUGGGAUAUCCCCCGCCAGUCC